CAUUCACCGUAAGAAGUUGAGUGGCGGACGGGUGAGUAUCACGUGGGUAACCUGCCUAAAAGAAGGGGAUAACACUUGGAAACAGGUGCUAAUACCGUAUAUCUCUAAGGAUCGGCAUGAUCCUUAGAUGAAAGAUGGUUCUGCUAUCGCUUUUAGAUGGACCCGCGGCGUAUUAACUAGUUGGUGGGGUAACGGCCUACAAGGUGAUGAUACGUAGCCGAACUGAGAGGUGAUCGGCCACAUUGGGACUGAGACACGGCCCAAACUCCUACGGGAGGCAGCAGUAGGGAAUCUUCCACAAUGGACGCAAGUCUGAUGGAGCAACGCCGCGUGAGUGAAGAGUCUUCGGAUCGUAAAACUCUGUUGUUAGAGAAGAACACGAGUGAGAGUAACUGUUCAUUCGAUGAGGUAUCUACCGCAAGUCACGGCUAACUACGUGCCAGCAGCCGCGGUAAUACGUAGGUGGAAGCGUUA
RNAcentral lists this ribosomal RNA (474 nucleotides) under Ligilactobacillus salivarius. RNAcentral describes it as "bacterial SSU rRNA". It matches the Rfam family "Bacterial small subunit ribosomal RNA", at positions 74 to 543 of the family's 1533-position model. The record is from RNAcentral. Lineage: Bacteria; Bacillati; Bacillota; Bacilli; Lactobacillales; Lactobacillaceae.